UCCCUAGUGGUCUAGUGGUUAGGAUUUGGCACUUUCACAGCUGAGGCCUGGGUUCAAUCCCUUGUCAGGGAA
RNAcentral lists this transfer RNA (72 nucleotides) under Bos taurus (domestic cattle). It matches the Rfam family "tRNA". Rfam says of the family: Transfer RNA (tRNA) molecules are approximately 80 nucleotides in length. Their secondary structure includes four short double-helical elements and three loops (D, anti-codon, and T loops). Further hydrogen bonds mediate the characteristic L-shaped molecular structure. tRNAs have two regions of fundamental functional importance: the anti-codon, which is responsible for specific mRNA codon recognition, and the 3' end, to which the tRNAs corresponding amino acid is attached (by aminoacyl-tRNA synthetases). tRNAs cope with the degeneracy of the genetic code in two manners: having more than one tRNA (with a specific anti-codon) for a particular amino acid; and 'wobble' base-pairing, i.e. permitting non-standard base-pairing at the 3rd anti-codon position. RNAcentral also lists the same sequence under 8 other names. The record is from Rfam by way of RNAcentral. Lineage: Eukaryota; Metazoa; Chordata; Mammalia; Artiodactyla; Bovidae.